Molecule: ribosomal RNA, 413 nt
Filed under: uncultured bacterium
Lineage: Bacteria
Description: bacterial SSU rRNA
Rfam family: Bacterial small subunit ribosomal RNA
Source: RNAcentral
GACGAACGCUGGCGGCGUGCUUAACACAUGCAAGUCGAACGAAAAGAGGGAAAGAGCUUGCUCUUUCCGGAAUUGAGUGGCAAACGGGUGAGUAACACGUAAACAACCUGCCUUCAGGAUGGGGACAACAGACGGAAACGACUGCUAAUACCGAAUAAGUUCCAAGAGCCGCAUGGCCCAUGGAAGAAAAGGUGGCCUCUACCUGUAAGCUAUCGCCUGAAGAGGGGUUUGCGUCUGAUUAGCUGGUUGGAGGGGUAACGGCCCACCCAAGGCGACGAUCAGUAGCUGGUCUGAGAGGAUGAACGGCCACACUGGAACUGAGACACGGUCCAGACUCCUACGGGAGGCAGCAGUGGGGAAUCUUCGCAAUGGCGAAAGCCUGACGGAGCAACGCCGCGUGAGUGAUGACGGCC